GGAAUUGUAGUCUAUAGGUGCGGACUCGCGUAGAGCCGGGUAUAAAUCCGUUCUAGGAACUGGGUGCCAGAGAGGGUUAGAGCCCCGUCUUUGACUCGGUGAGCUGCGCGUGACGAGUACGGACCAGAGAGUCGGCUUGCUUGGGAAUGCAGGUCAAAAUGGGUGGUAAACUUCAUCUAAAGCUAAAUAUUGGCGAGAGACCGAUAGCGAACAAGUACUGUGAAGGAAAGAUGGAAAGAACUUUGAAAAGAGAGUGAAAAAGGGCUUGAAAUUGUUAAGAGGAGAAGUGAUUGGAGCAUAUCAUACCUUCUAGGGUUAAUGGUUGGGAUUUAUCCUGGCAAUGUAUUCCUGGUUGGUUGGUCAGCAUCGGUUUGGGCUUGGGGAGACUACUUUUAUCGUGAAACCUAGUGAUCGGUAGAUGUGAAACCCGGGGCGAGACCGAGGCACAAAGAGCGCGCAUAGCGACCGGCUUGAGCCCUUCUGCAUUGCAGUCCAACACUCUUCGGAGUGUUGUCUGUACUGUGGUUGAUGCGAAGAGUGCAGGAUCUGCGUUCUGAAGAUGCUGGCACAAAUGGCUUCAAUCAGCCCGUCUUGAAACACGGACCAAGG
Molecule: ribosomal RNA, 609 nt
Filed under: Mesodinium pulex
Lineage: Eukaryota; Ciliophora; Litostomatea; Cyclotrichida; Mesodiniidae
Description: partial Eukaryotic large subunit ribosomal RNA
Rfam family: Eukaryotic large subunit ribosomal RNA
Source: RNAcentral